GCCGCCCCCACCUGGCCUAUCUCCGUCCCGGGCCUGGCUCUGCGCUCCCCACCUGGGCAUGGGCGCGACGUGACUAGAGCAGCAGCCACCAUAGGGGCCGCUCCCGUGCGGGGCAGCCUGGGCUAGUCGGUCAGGGCAAUGGCCAGUGGCUCUGAGGCAGCAGCAGUAGCCGGGGAACUUAGGACCCAGCUUGGAGCCAGGGCCUGCGCUGGGAAAUGCACCUCAGUGAGCAGCGCCGUGUUCGCCCCAGCCCAGCCCAGGGGUUGAUUACAAACAACUUGCUUUUUCCUGUGGCAGUAUAAGCCAGUCUGGAAACAAGGCCAUUCACACUAGAUAAAAGGAUGACAAUAUGGAUGGUCCCUUCAACAAAACCACCAAAGAUGAGAUCAAGCCCUGUCCCGUAAAACCCAAGGACCAAACACUUAUUUGCUCUUCAACAGGGACCAACUUCAAGGGACAAUCCUGAUACUAGGUUUGAAUCAUUCACAAAAGUGCCAAGAUAACCUAUGAAGCUGUCCUCGGACAACUAAACCGUGUCUUUGAUAUGGAGUAUGAUGUAUAGUUUUAACUGUAACGAACUGAAUAAAACUUUACAUAAAAGGU
Molecule: long non-coding RNA, 603 nt
Organism: Malaclemys terrapin pileata
Lineage: Eukaryota; Metazoa; Chordata; Testudines; Emydidae
Exons: 2
Source: RefSeq, a predicted model, not a curated record